GACGAACGCUGGCGGCGUGCUUAACACAUGCAAGUCGAACGAAGAGCGAUGGAAGCUUGCUUCUAUCAAUCUUAGUGGCGAACGGGUGAGUAACGCGUAAUCAACCUGCCCUUCAGAGGGGGACAACAGUUGGAAACGACUGCUAAUAACGCAUACGAUCUAAUCUCGGCAUCGAGGAUAGAUGAAAGGUGGCCUCUACAUGUAAGCUAUCACUGAAGGAGGGGAUUGCGUCUGAUUAGCUAGUUGGAGGGGUAACGGCCCACCAAGGCGAUGAUCAGUAGCCGGUCUGAGAGGAUGAACGGCCACAUUGGGACUGAGACACGGCCCAGACUCCUACGGGAGGCAGCAGUGGGGAAUCUUCCGCAAUGGACGAAAGUCUGACGGAGCAACGCCGCGUGAGUGAUGACGGCCUUCGGGUUGUAAAGCUCUGUUAAUCGGGACGAAAGGCCUUCUUGCGAAUAGUGAGAAGGAUUGACGGUACCGGAAUAGAAAGCCACGGCUAACUACGUG
This 510-nucleotide ribosomal RNA is filed under the name uncultured bacterium. RNAcentral describes it as "partial 16S ribosomal RNA". It matches the Rfam family "Bacterial small subunit ribosomal RNA", at positions 28 to 507 of the family's 1533-position model. The record is from RNAcentral.